RNAcentral lists this ribosomal RNA (332 nucleotides) under uncultured Planctomycetota bacterium. RNAcentral's name for it is "bacterial SSU rRNA". It matches the Rfam family "Bacterial small subunit ribosomal RNA", at positions 568 to 898 of the family's 1533-position model. The record is from RNAcentral. Lineage: Bacteria; Pseudomonadati; Planctomycetota.
UGUGUAGGCGGAUCGUUAAGUGUCUUGUGAAAUCCCACGGCUCACCCGUGGAACUGCUGGGCAUACUGGCGAUCUUGGGCCAACUAGGGGCAACUGGAACAAGCGGUGGAGCGGUGAAAUGCGUAGAUAUCGCUUGGAACGCCAAAGGUGAAAACAGGUUGCUGGGGUUGUGCCGACGCUGAGACACGAAAGCCAGGGGAGCAAACGGGAUUAGAUACCCCGGUAGUCCUGGCCCUAAACGAUGUCCACUAGAUUGCGGCGGGUUUGACCCCGUCGCGGUCGAAGCAAAAGUGUUAAGUGGACCGCCUGGGAAGUACGGUCGCAAGGCUAAA